UAGGGAAUCUUCCACAAUGGGCGCAAGCCUGAUGGAGCAACACCGCGUGAGUGAAGAAGGGUUUCGGCUCGUAAAGCUCUGUUGUUGGAAGAAGAACGUGCGUGAGAGUAACUGUUCACGCAGUGACGGUAUCCAACCAGAAAGUCACGGCUAACUACGUCGCC
Molecule: ribosomal RNA, 164 nt
Filed under: uncultured bacterium
Lineage: Bacteria
Description: partial 16S ribosomal RNA
Rfam family: Bacterial small subunit ribosomal RNA
Source: RNAcentral